RNAcentral lists this ribosomal RNA (468 nucleotides) under uncultured bacterium. RNAcentral's name for it is "partial 16S ribosomal RNA". It matches the Rfam family "Bacterial small subunit ribosomal RNA", at positions 28 to 507 of the family's 1533-position model. The record is from RNAcentral.
GACGAACGCUGGCGGCGUGCUUAACACAUGCAAGUCGAACGGAAAGGCCCUGCUUUUGUGGGGUGCUCGAGUGGCGAACGGGUGAGUAACACGUGAGUAACCUGCCCUUGAUUUUGGGAUAACUUCAGGAAACUGGGGCUAAUACCGGAUAGGAGCUCCUGCUGCAUGGUGGGGGUUGGAAAGUUUCGGCGGUUGGGGAUGGACUCGCGGCUUAUCAGCUUGUUGGUGGGGUAGUGGCUUACCAAGGCUUUGACGGGUAGCCGGCCUGAGAGGGUGACCGGCCACAUUGGGACUAAGAUACGGCCCAGACUCCUACGGGAGGCAGCAGUGGGGAAUAUUGCACAAUGGGCGGAAGCCUGAUGCAGCAACGCCGCGUGCGGGAUGACGGCCUUCGGGUUGUAAACCGCUUUCGCCUGUGACGAAGCGUGAGUGACGGUAAUGGGUAAAGAAGCACCGGCUAACUACGUG